UACGUAGGGGGCAAGCGUUGUCCGGAUUUAUUGGGCGUAAAGAGCGUGUAGGCGGCUAGAUAGGUCCGUUGUGAAAACUGGAGGCUUAACCUCCAGACGUCGAUGGAAACCGUAUGGCUAGAGUCCGGAAGAGGAGAGUGGAAUUCCUGGUGUAGCGGUGAAAUGCGCAGAUAUCAGGAAGAACACCCGUGGCGAAGGCGGCUCUCUGGGACGGUACUGACGCUGAGACGCGAAAGCGUGGGGAGCGAACAGG
This 253-nucleotide ribosomal RNA is filed under the name uncultured bacterium. RNAcentral describes it as "partial 16S ribosomal RNA". It matches the Rfam family "Bacterial small subunit ribosomal RNA", at positions 524 to 776 of the family's 1533-position model. The record is from RNAcentral.